GGUUGGUCCGAGUGCAGUGGUGUUUACAACUAAUUGAUCACAGCCAGUUACAGAUUCCUUUGUUCCUUCUCCACUCCUACUGCUUCACUUGACCAGACUUUA
Molecule: Y RNA, 102 nt
Filed under: Propithecus coquereli (Coquerel's sifaka)
Lineage: Eukaryota; Metazoa; Chordata; Mammalia; Primates; Indriidae
Description: Y RNA (ENSPCOG00000007968.1)
Rfam family: Y RNA
About the family: Y RNAs are components of the Ro ribonucleoprotein particle (Ro RNP), in association with Ro60 and La proteins. The Y RNAs and Ro60 and La proteins are well conserved, but the function of the Ro RNP is not known.
Source: Rfam by way of RNAcentral